This 426-nucleotide ribosomal RNA is filed under the name uncultured Burkholderia sp. RNAcentral's name for it is "bacterial SSU rRNA". It matches the Rfam family "Bacterial small subunit ribosomal RNA", at positions 336 to 754 of the family's 1533-position model. Lineage: Bacteria; Pseudomonadati; Pseudomonadota; Betaproteobacteria; Burkholderiales; Burkholderiaceae. The record is from RNAcentral.
UUCCUACGGGAGGCAGCAGUGGGGAAUUUUGGACAAUGGGCGAAAGCCUGAUCCAGCAAUGCCGCGUGUGUGAAGAAGGCCUUCGGGUUGUAAAGCACUUUUGUCCGGAAAGAAAUCCUUGGCUCUAAUACAGUCGGGGGAUGACGGUACCGGAAGAAUAAGCACCGGCUAACUACGUGCCAGCAGCCGCGGUAAUACGUAGGGUGCGAGCGUUAAUCGGAAUUACUGGGCGUAAAGCGUGCGCAGGCGGUUUGCUAAGACCGAUGUGAAAUCCCCGGGCUCAACCUGGGAACUGCAUUGGUGACUGGCAGGCUAGAGUAUGGCAGAGGGGGGUAGAAUUCCACGUGUAGCAGUGAAAUGCGUAGAGAUGUGGAGGAAUACCGAUGGCGAAGGCAGCCCCCUGGGCCAAUACUGACGCUCAUGCAC